This 301-nucleotide ribosomal RNA is filed under the name uncultured bacterium. RNAcentral's name for it is "partial 16S ribosomal RNA". It matches the Rfam family "Bacterial small subunit ribosomal RNA", at positions 509 to 809 of the family's 1533-position model. The record is from RNAcentral.
CAGUCGCCGCGGUAAUACGUAGGUGGCAAGCGUUGUCCGGAAUUAUUGGGCGUAAAGCGCGCGCAGGCGGAUAGGUCAGUCUGUCUUAAAAGUUCGGGGCUUAACCCCGUGAUGGGAUGGAAACUGCCAAUCUAGAGUAUCGGAGAGGAAAGUGGAAUUCCUAGUGUAGCGGUGAAAUGCAUAGAUAUUAGGAGGAACACCAGUGGCGAAGGCGACUUUCUGGACGAAAACUGACGCUGAGGCGCGAAAGCCAGGGGAGCGAACGGGAUUAGAUACCCCUGUAGUCCCUGUCUCUUAUACA